Molecule: ribosomal RNA, 466 nt
Filed under: uncultured bacterium
Lineage: Bacteria
Description: partial 16S ribosomal RNA
Rfam family: Bacterial small subunit ribosomal RNA
Source: RNAcentral
GAUGAACGCUGGCGGCGCGCUUAACACAUGCAAGUCGAACGAUGAAGCCCAGCUUGCUGGGUGGAUUAGUGGCGAACGGGUGAGUAACACGUGAGUAACCUGCCCUUGACUCUGGGAUAAGCCUGGGAAACUGGGUCUAAUACUGGAUAUGACUUCUCAUCGCAUGGUGGGGGGUGGAAAGAUUUAUUGGUCUUGGAUGGACUCGCGGCCUAUCAGCUUGUUGGUGAGGUAAUGGCUCACCAAGGCGACGACGGGUAGCCGGCCUGAGAGGGUGACCGGCCACACUGGGACUGAGACACGGCCCAGACUCCUACGGGAGGCAGCAGUGGGGAAUAUUGCACAAUGGGCGCAAGCCUGAUGCAGCGACGCCGCGUGAGGGAUGACGGCCUUCGGGUUGUAAACCUCUUUCAGUAGGGAAGAAGCGAGAGUGACGGUACCUGCAGAAGAAGCGCCGGCUAACUACGUG